Long non-coding RNA from Portunus trituberculatus (swimming crab), 2224 nucleotides. RefSeq lists it as uncharacterized. NCBI's taxonomy places the organism in Eukaryota, Metazoa, Arthropoda, Malacostraca, Decapoda, Portunidae. The transcript is spliced from 4 exons. The record is from RefSeq and is a predicted model, not a curated record.
CCUAACAUCUAUCUGCCAUUACCCAGCUGUGUUUCAUUCCAGCCACAGUUACAUCCCUUGUCUUAUCCAAGCCGGAAUCCGUCUUCUCACCAGAUAUCAUACUUAGGAAAUAUCUGUGCAUUCUUAGUGUUUAUGUAAAACCGUUUUUGUAGAAUUCUGGUGAAACGGCAGAAAUAGGCUUACGUAUGGUUUGUUUUCACCAGAGGAUGUGUGGGGAGGAAAACCCCUAGUGCAAAACCGGUGUUCUGAGGUAGGUGUAGGGUAGGGAUUUCACCGAUUGUUGGUCAAUUUGACCCUCCUUGUGCUGGGGAGUAGGUGCAACAGUUAGGAUGACUCCAGGUUAGUGGGGCAUUGCGUUGAGUUGUUCGGAGCUGUGACGUUUCAGCUUUAAGUUCCGUAAGUGCUGUGAACCAGUGUACCAUUAGAUGUAAAGCAUCAAGAAAGUGUGCGUUAGUGCUGAGACGUCACGCCACCCUAGAUUUGGUGUGCGUGUUUAAUAAGUAACGUUUCUGAACAAGGCAGUUGUGUAAACACUUCAAAAUCGCUGUGUAUAGUAAUAUUUUGUGCGCUGUUCAAUAUCCAGGAUUGUCAGUAUCUGGUGUAGUAAGUGAAAAAUAAGUGAGUACUGGGUUUCGGUUUAUUGUAAUGCACAUACUAGGUCUUUAACCCUCUCAAUACCAUGACACGUCUUCAUAUUUAUUUAGUUACUAUUAGGCGAUUUUAUUCAGCUUCAGAGAUGCAUGUAGGGAUUAUAAUGAACCUCCAUGGAACCUUGCAAUUUAAGUAAAAUCGUGUAAUCACACCCAAAACUCAUGAUAAAAGUGCGGCCCGGUAUUGAAGGAUUGCAUUUCAUUUGAGGCUGCAUUUUAUUUUAGGCUAGACACUGAUUAUAAUCAUAUUGUGGAAUUGUGCAAUUGCCCCUAUAUCAUAGAAGAGGUCUUAGAUUUGGCAUAAUUACUAAUGACAUGACAGAAGGUGAAGGAUGUUUCUGGAUUGACGAUUGAUAGCUUUGUUGCAGUAGUGUAUGCAACGGAGAAGGUUGGGUCAUGCUGGCCACACUCUAAACAUGGGGCAAACAAACUUCUGAGAAGUCUUGGCAUCCUGCUCCUCCUCUCCUCUUCCUCGUCUGUGUCCAUGUGAUAGUUUAUCUCAGGUCUGCCUCCGCAGAAGAGGAUGCUGUCCGCUGAGGCUUGCGGUCUGGCACAGGUCCUGCCACUACUGUAGAGAGAACCAAACCAGCGUGUCGUCUUCUUUGGAUCCGUGUCACUUGGAACGCUUCCUAGGGGGGUCUCCUUUCACCGUCUGCAAACCACCCAAAGCUGAGCCCUGAAUCUGAGGUGUUUACUGUCUCUGCCCAACACCUGCUGCCAAUCUACUUUUUGACUCGACUGUAUGCCAUCACAUUUCCACUCUCAGGUUUUUGUGUGUUACUCAGUGUUGUUCCCUGUCCUGCUGCCUGCGCCACUCACCACCUCAUAACAAUCCCCAACCUGCAGCAGGAAGCUGGAAGACGCCUACUGUCCUGGUGCACCUUCCACGAAGGAAUUGGACCCUGCCUAGCACCUGCUUUCCCUGACAGUUGUCAUGUAGGAAGGAGACACGGCCUCGCUUCACCUUCCAUGGAGGAAGGAAUUGGACCCUGCCUAGCACCUGCUUUCCCUGACAGUUGUCAUGUAGGAAGGAGACACGGCCUCGCUUCACCUUCCAUGGAGGAAGGAAUUGGACCCUGCCUCGCACCAGCUCUGCCCUGACACGUUCCCAUGCAGGUGAUGCCUUCAGGGAGGGAGGACUGCCUCUCUGCACCUUCCAUGGAGGAAUUGGACCCUGGCUCGCAUCAGCUGCCCUGACAUGUAAUGUCAUCCAAGGAGGGAGGACGCUGCCUCGCUGCACCUUCCACGAUGUUAGGAGAGUGGCUCGCUUCAUCUAACAUAACCUAACCUAAGCAAUACAUGUUGCCAUCACUUGUAUAAAAUGUUAUUCCUUCUAUCUUGUGUGAAUGUAUGUACCCACAGAAGUGCAGUGUUAUUAUUCCUUCCAUGUUCUGUUAUGAACCCCAUGUAAAAUGUUAUUUCUUCUAUCUAAUGUGAAUGUGUAUCCACAGAAGUGUGAUGUUAUUAUUCCUUUCCAUGUUUUAUGUACAGUGCUAUUAUUCCUUCCAUGUUCCGUGAUGUACCCAUGUAACUCGUGUUAGUGCUUAAUAAUAAAUCAUAAUUAAGAAAAUUGA